Molecule: ribosomal RNA, 253 nt
Filed under: uncultured bacterium
Lineage: Bacteria
Description: partial 16S ribosomal RNA
Rfam family: Bacterial small subunit ribosomal RNA
Source: RNAcentral
UACGUAGGGUGCGAGCGUUAAUCGGAAUUACUGGGCGUAAAGCGUGCGCAGGCGGUUGUGCAAGACCGAUGUGAAAUCCCCGGGCUUAACCUGGGAAUGGCAUUGGUGACUGUACGGCUAGAGUGUGUCAGAGGGGGGUAGAAUUCCACGUGUAGCAGUGAAAUGCGUAGAGAUGCGGAGGAACACCGGUGGCGAAGGCGGUUCUCUGGGCCUUACCUGACGCUGAGGAGCGAAAGCGUGGGGAGCGAACAGG